RNAcentral lists this long non-coding RNA (816 nucleotides) under Gossypium barbadense (sea-island cotton). RNAcentral describes it as "long non-coding RNA (GBAR_LNC005592)". The record is from RNAcentral. Lineage: Eukaryota; Viridiplantae; Streptophyta; Magnoliopsida; Malvales; Malvaceae.
GUUUCUAAAAAACUAUACUUGUUUUCUUUGUUUUCUCUGCAGGUCCAGGCUCAGUCAGCACUCCGACGAACUGCCACUGCCCUCCGCCGCGUCUCUACCGUCGGCGACCACCGUGCACGGCGGUCAGAGGUAAGAAUCUCCUUCUUUUUUAUUUUUUUCUAUAUUUUAUGUGUUUAUAAUAUAUGUAUAUAUAUAUGCAAAUAGAAGAUUUGAAAAAUGGAAAAGAAAAAGAAAUAAAUCAAAAAAGUGUAUAAAAUAUAAUCACCUUAGUUCUUUAGAUAUCUGAUUCUUGGUAUUUGUUUUCCGAUUUAGUGUUUUUCUCUUUGAUUGGCUAUUUUGUGCUUUGACUCACUUGAUUUUUUGUUUGUAUUUUAAAACCAAAUGUUUUUUUUUAUUUCUCACAAGUGCCGACCUUGUACAAUGGUUUUAGGGGUGGUCUUUUAUAUCCACUUUCCCUUACAACUUGCUCCCUAAUAAAUUGCUCUGUCUUUCUUGCAGAAAAAUAGGUGGUGUUGGUGUCAGGCAGUGGCGGUGGACGUGACAAGCGGUGGCAGACCUGGCACAAGUGGUUAGGCUAGGGUUUCCUUUAGCUUUUGUGUUUUGUGUUUGGAUUGGGACUUUGAUUUGUUUGGACUUGGGGUAUUUUGGGGUUAGUUGGGCUAGGUAGAUUUGGUUUUAAUUUGGGCCCGCAAAUUGGGCUUGUACAAGUGCUAAUACUUUGGUUCUAAUAUAAUAAUAAGACGUUGACAUCCAAUGGCCAUAAGUUGGCAUCCAAUAGUCAUAACUAAAAGUUUGUUUCAAAAUGAAAUAUGUUUC